This 301-nucleotide ribosomal RNA is filed under the name uncultured bacterium. RNAcentral describes it as "partial 16S ribosomal RNA". It matches the Rfam family "Bacterial small subunit ribosomal RNA", at positions 509 to 807 of the family's 1533-position model. The record is from RNAcentral.
CAGUCGCCGCGGGAAUACGUAGGGUGCAAGCGUUAAUCGGAAUUACUGGGCGUAAAGCGUGCGCAGGCGGUUAUAUAAGACAGAUGUGAAAUCCCCGGGCUCAACCUGGGAACUGCAUUUGUGACUGUAUAGCUAGAGUACGGCAGAGGGGGAUGGAAUUCCGCGUGUAGCAGUGAAAUGCGUAGAUAUGCGGAGGAACACCGAUGGCGAAGGCAAUCCCCUGGGCCUGUACUGACGCUCAUGCGCGAAAGCGUGGGGAGCAAACAGGAUUAGAUACCCCAGUAGUCCCUGUCUCUUAUAC